This 327-nucleotide unclassified non-coding RNA is filed under the name soil metagenome. RNAcentral describes it as "partial contains 5.8S ribosomal RNA, internal transcribed spacer 2, and large subunit ribosomal RNA". The stretch from base 1 to 120 matches the Rfam family "5.8S ribosomal RNA", at positions 35 to 154 of the family's 154-position model. The record is from RNAcentral.
GAUGAAGAACGCAGCGAAAUGCGAUAAGUAAUGUGAAUUGCAGAAUUCAGUGAAUCAUCGAAUCUUUGAACGCACAUUGCGCCCCCUGGUAUUCCGGGGGGCAUGCCUGUCCGAGCGUCAUUACAACCCUCAAGCUCAGCUUGGUGUUGGGCCCCGCCGCCCCGGCGGGCCCUAAAGUCAGUGGCGGUGCCGUCCGGCUCCGAGCGUAGUAAUUCUUCUCGCUCUGGAGGUCCGGUCGUGUGCUCGCCAGCAACCCCCAAUUUUUUUCAGGUUGACCUCGGAUCAGGUAGGGAUACCCGCUGAACUUAAGCAUAUCAAUAAGCGGGA